AAUCAACGCUGGCGGCGUGCCUAAUACAUGCAAGUCGUACGCGAAAGUCCCGCAAGGGGCAAGUAGAGUGGCAAACGGGUGAGUAACGCGUGGGCGACCUACCUUCGAGUGGGGGAUAACCUUCCGAAAGGAGGGCUAAUACCGCAUGACACCCCGUGUUUGGAUACACGGGUUUCAAAGCCGGGGAUCGCAAGACCUGGCGCUUGGAGCAGGGCCCGCGUCCGAUUAGCUAGUUGGUGGGGUAACGGCCCACCAAGGCAACGAUCGGUA
Molecule: ribosomal RNA, 270 nt
Filed under: uncultured bacterium
Lineage: Bacteria
Description: partial 16S ribosomal RNA
Rfam family: Bacterial small subunit ribosomal RNA
Source: RNAcentral